UACUCCUACGGGAGGCAGCAGUGGGGAAUCUUCCGCAAUGGACGAAAGUCUGACGGAGCAACGCCGCGUGAGUGAUGACGGCCUUCGGGUUGUAAAGCUCUGUUAAUCGGGACGAAAGGCCUUCUUGCGAAUAGUUAGAAGGAUUGACGGUACCGGAAUAGAAAGCCACGGCUAACUACGUGCCAGCAGCCGCGGUAAUACGUAGGUGGCAAGCGUUGUCCGGAAUUAUUGGGCGUAAAGCGCGCGCAGGCGGAUUGGUCAGUCUGUCUUAAAAGUUCGGGGCUUAACCCCGUGAUGGGAUGGAAACUGCCAAUCUAGAGUAUCGGAGAGGAAAGUGGAAUUCCUAGUGUAGCGGUGAAAUGCGUAGAUAUUAGGAAGAACACCAGUGGCGAAGGCGACUUUCUGGACGAAAACUGACGCUGAGGCGCGAAAGCCAGGGGAGCGAACGGGAUUAGAUACCCCGGUAGUCCUGGCCGUAAACGAUGGGUACUAGGUGUAGGAGGUAUCGACCCCUUCUGUGCCGGAGUUAACGCAAUAAGUACCCCGCCUGGGGAGUACGACCGCAAGGUUGAAACUCAAAUGAAUUGACGGA
This 592-nucleotide ribosomal RNA is filed under the name uncultured bacterium. RNAcentral describes it as "bacterial SSU rRNA". It matches the Rfam family "Bacterial small subunit ribosomal RNA", at positions 334 to 917 of the family's 1533-position model. The record is from RNAcentral.